AUGAAACGAAUGUCGAGAGGGGUUGUAGCUGGCCUUUCGGGGCAUGUGCACGCCUCGAUCGCAUAUCUACCUCUCACACCUGUGCACUACGUGUAGCUUGGGGACGAUCACGACGUUAGAAAUGACGUCGAAAGCCCUAGCUAUGAUUUUUUAUAAACCCAUGUAUGUUACAGAACGGAUGACGUUAUAGUGCGUAACAGCACGAAUAUAUA
Molecule: unclassified non-coding RNA, 212 nt
Filed under: uncultured Pseudotomentella
Lineage: Eukaryota; Fungi; Basidiomycota; Agaricomycetes; Thelephorales; Thelephoraceae
Description: sequence contains ITS1
Source: RNAcentral